RNAcentral lists this ribosomal RNA (421 nucleotides) under Fusobacteriota bacterium. RNAcentral describes it as "Fusobacteria bacterium partial 16S ribosomal RNA". It matches the Rfam family "Bacterial small subunit ribosomal RNA", at positions 355 to 776 of the family's 1533-position model. Lineage: Bacteria; Fusobacteriati; Fusobacteriota. The record is from RNAcentral.
UGGGGAAUAUUGCACAAUGGACGGAAGUUUGAUGCAGCGACGCCGCGUGGAGGGUGUAGGCCUUCGGGUUGUGAACUCCUUUUUCUCGCGAAAAAGGCACAGUUUUGGCUGUGUUGAUGGUAGUGGGGGAAGAAGCGCCGGCUAACUACGUGCCAGCAGCCGCGGUAAUACGUAGGGCGCGAGCGUUGUCCGGAUUUAUUGGGCGUAAAGAGCUCGUAGGUGGUUCGUCGCGUCUGUCGUGAAAGCCAGCAGCUUAACUGUUGGUCUGCGGUAGGUACGGGCGGGCUUGAAUGCGGUAGGGGUGAGUGGAAUUCCUGGUGUAGCGGUGGAAUGCGCAGAUAUCAGGAGGAACACCGAUGGCGAAGGCAGGUCACUGGGCCGUUACUGACACUGAGGAGCGAAAGCGUGGGGAGCGAACAGG